Long non-coding RNA from Camellia sinensis, 1702 nucleotides. RefSeq lists it as uncharacterized. The record is from RefSeq and is a predicted model, not a curated record. Lineage: Eukaryota; Viridiplantae; Streptophyta; Magnoliopsida; Ericales; Theaceae.
AUAUCCUAACUUUCCUCUUCUUUUCUUCUUUUUGUUUUCGUUUUCCUGUACUAUCCGAAUUCCCCCCAUUCUUUUCCCUCUUUUGUUUCUCACGAUCUCAAAUCCCCAAUCCCUAAAUAAAAAAUCCUCAAAUUAAACCCUAACUGCUCUAAACACCCCAUCGUAUUCACUGAUUGGUAACCAACAUUUGUCUCACCUCUUGCUCCUCCACCACGUCGAUCGCCAUUGCCGUCGCAUCUUCUCUGCUUGCCGAUUUGGACCCACCUUCAACAAUGAAACCAAGACCAUCUCUGCAAAAUGAAAUUUCUCAACAGGAAAUAAUUUUCUUUGCCAAAAAGAUGCACCAUCAGAUUCACCAAAGAGAAAGCUGAUUGUGUCAGAAAUUUGUGUCAGCUAAAUUUCCCAUCUUUUUUGCAUUUUCAUUUGAUGCAAUUCAAUUAUUUUGAGCACAUAUAUAUAUAUAUAUAUAUUGGAACUUGAGAGUUGGCCUAAAUAAUAUGCAUUUUGGUUGGGAUUGUUAAUGAAAAUUUCUAGCCUCUAGCUUUAGCUUUUUAGUGUUAAUGAACACUGCAUACUUUAUACAGGAAUUCAAACAGAUAACCCUUACAUGGAAAUAAGGAUUUGUGUUGUUGAUUAGAAAACUUAAGCUUUUGUACAACUAAUUUCCAAAAUAAUUCAUGUUUUUGAACAAGAAAAUGGAGUGUGAAUGUGAGUUACAUAAUAGUUCCUUCCCAUUCUUAGCAUUGAAUUUCAAAAUUGGAUCAAUUGAUGUGUAUUCUUCACUUAUUCAUGCUAAUCUGGUUAGGUCUUCCAAUGUUUGAAUGUAUUCAUAUAUUAAUACUCAAGAUAAAUGUUUCAAACCAGUUCAAAUCAAAACCAAACCACUAUCCUAUUUGUGAGACGAUAUCAUGUUGCAACUAUCAUUGAUGGAGAAGCCUCUAAGUGGUUUAUAAGAUUUUUAUUUUUAUUUUUUUAUUUUCUUUUUUCUGAUUUUGAGUACUUUGGGCUGAUUCUUCCAAACUAACAUUGAGGAGCUCUGGGUUUUAUUGUAACACGAAACUUGGCACACACAACCUCCUAGACACGAGAGACUUGUGGAAGAAGACGGGACUCAAAUCGAGUUCUCAGUUUGGGAGUUAUAGUCGAAUUUCGGUCUAGGCAAAUUAGUUCCUUAAGAAACUUUAUUCGAGGUGUUAACGCUCCAAAAUUACCAAACAAUGUCAAAUCAGCACAAAACUUAGCACACGCAACUUCCUUGGCACGAGAGACUUGUGGGAGAAGAUGGGACUGGAAUCGGGUUCCCAGUUUGGGAGUUAGAGCCAGAUUUUGGUCUAGGCAAACUAGUUCUUUAAGAAACUUAGAAUUUGAGAUGUUGACGCCCCAAAAUGACAAAACGGCAUCGGAUUAACACGAAACUUGGCGCACAUGACCGCCUAGGCACGAGAGACUUGUGGAAGAAGAUGGGACUUGAAUCAGGUUUCCGGUUUGGGAGUCAGAGCCAGAUUUCAGCCUAGGCAAAUUAGUUUCUUAAGAAACUUAAAAUUUGAAGUGUUGACACCCCGAAAUUUCCAAACUGCGUCGGAUUAGCAUGAAACUUGGCACACACGACCGCCUUGGCACGAGAGACUUGUGGGAGAAUACGGGACUCAAAUCGGGUUCCCGGUUUGGGAGUUAGAGCCGAAUUUCGGUUUAGGCAAAAUUA